Ctenopharyngodon idella (grass carp) is the source of this 5399-nucleotide long non-coding RNA. RefSeq lists it as uncharacterized. Lineage: Eukaryota; Metazoa; Chordata; Actinopteri; Cypriniformes; Xenocyprididae. The transcript is spliced from 4 exons. The record is from RefSeq and is a predicted model, not a curated record.
UAGACUAUCCAUUUAAUUUUAUUUAGGCUAAUUUGACUUAUAGGCUACAGUAUACGUAUUUAAAAAAAAUUUAUUUGUAAAUUUCACUGAGAGUAAAUUUCAGUAAAAUUCUCAUUUACAAAUCAGUAAAUUUCAGUUUUUGGCUUAAACAACUCCUAUUUAAGCCAACAGAUUUUUACAAACAUACAAAGUCUACAUAAAGCUGCGGUGUGUUGACAAUAUCUUCACUCGAAGCAUUUUUCUAAACAGUAACUUAGAGAGAAAUCCAGUGUUUCUCCCUUCUGGCCUCCUCCGUAUUCCUUUCCCGGCUGAUCUGAUUAUUUUUCCCUUCACGUUUUGUCCCAAUAGCAAAUUACCAAUUCUAUGAAUUGCAAAGCAGCCUCGGAGACGCUGAGGGGUAGAGAGGGGGAGAUGCGAAGAUUGAAAGGGAUCUUUGCAAACACAAUCACGUUCUUAAAUGGAAAUGUGGGGCUUUAAACAAAUCUUACAUCUCUCCUGUUCCAGUCGUCUAAAACUCCGCAAUCAGGCACACGUUCGACUCCAUCUAAAACCACAGCUUUUUUAGAAGAUUUUUUUGGUAUCACUUCUAUUUAAAUUAUUUACCUCACUGUAUUUUUUUUAGUUCACGUUCGUGUUUGUGUGUUUGUCUUGCUCUUAUGGGGUGUUUCCACAGGCUUUUGCGAGGAAAUGUGCCGUUACAGGCGGAGAUUUCAGGCGUCAAACCAAAACGCUUCUCUGUGGACUAAUGGAGCUGAAAGCUGAUGAUGAUGAUAGAGAAAAUAUCAUGCAAAUUUGCCUUCUUUGAAAGCAGAACCAGAGAUAAAAGAGGCUCAAAGGGGCCUGAAAGGACCGAGCGACUUGCUUUCGAGACAUCUGAGGAAACCACUGAAAAAGCCAAUAAUGAGAUCAAGGGGCAUUUGGGUAUGAAUUCGACCAUAUGAUAUCAAGAAGACUUUAGGGAGGCUGCUUUAGCAACAGAUGCUUUGAGAUCAACACGAUAUGCUCGCACUGAACUUGUAGCCAUGGGGUUAUGUGCCUUAUGUGUGUGUUUUUGAGGGCAGCUCCAUACCGUGACUGGCUAGGAGACAGUGAUGGCAAAGAGCGGAGUGACCAGACCAGCUCCAGCCCAAAAGGGGUCACGACCAGACGCCAAGUGCUCCUGUCUCGAUGUCGUCUGUGGUCAAGCACUCGCCGGGGCAGACUGAAUUAAAUUAGACUGCUUUUAAUUGAGGAUUGACCGGUCUGAGAGCAGCUGGUGCUUGGGUCAGUCAAGAUAGCAAAGCCUGAAUCCCCCAGGCCCCAACUGCAAUUUCAGCCCUGCAGGUCCUGGAAUGGACUGGGCAGAGCAUGCUGGGAAUGCAUGGCUGAUGAUUAGCAAUAGAGUUUAUAGGAAGGCUUAGAUGAGAUUUGGCUUGUUUGCUUGAGUGGAAAGUGUAACACACACACUCAGAGCCUGUUCUUGUGUAGACUCAGCGUAAAUCGGCUUAGGGAUUGCACCUCGCUGAAAAUCUCCUCAAUCGCCCGGUCGACACAAUUAAUCGCUUCAUUAAUUAACAAUCGCUGCGCGUGAUACACCACCCCGACUGCGUCUUGGCAAGUGUGCAACUUACAAGCAACCUCCUUUUUCUUCUUGCUUUCUCUUCUUUCACUCCUCCCACCCGCUCCGAUACUCCUCUUUAUCUUUUUCUUCUGCACUCCUUUUCCUUCUUUAAGCAGCAUUGCAAAAGCCAACUCUGCUGUUUUAGCACGAACAGACGCACUUUUCUCUCGGCAAGCAGGUCAGAGCGCUCUGCUAACAUUUGUUAUCUAUAAUCCUGCAGGUCCCCGCGCAAAAUGAGCGUAGUAAACUCUUGCAAAGCCCUAAUCCCUCCAUUUCUUUUAGAUGUGCUUUCUCUCUCUCGCACGCACGCUCUUUUCUUUUCCAUCUAUGGGGUGGGAAAGUGUUUUUUUAAGAGGAGGCAUCUGAUUGCAGCACUUAUUUUUGAGCUCUUCUGAAUUACCAAACUUCUUUUACCUCCAAAUAAUUAACAAUCCUUUUCUGGCAAUUAAAAAGAUUUUUUUUUUUUAAUGCACUCCAAUGCUGAAGAAUUAUUUCAGGCCGCCACCAGCCACCCAUGCUUUUAUGACAGGCUUUGUUGAUUUGCUUUCUGAGUCCUUGUGUGUGGUUCAGAGUAGCUGUUAUGCAAAAUCUCUCUCUGUAUUCAUACUGUACGCAUUUAUGGUUUAACUGUCAGUUAAUUUGGCUCGUGCUGUUGAUUCAUCUCAGUAACAUACAAGGAUACGUGCAAAAAAAGUUUUUUUUCCUUUCGCCAUCACUCUCAAUUAUCUAUGCGCUGAUUUGAUUUGAGUUCGAUACUAUGCAAAUGAUGUAUAUGAAUGCUCGCGUGCAGUUCUGCUGCAUUUUGUCUUGGUCAUGCACACCCACACAUGUAGCGAGCACGUCGGCGUGUGUGUGUUGUAUGGUGAGUAAUAGCAGGGCUCGGUGGAAGGCUGUAGUGUUGACAGCAUGGUAAACGAUGCAGCCUGCCUACUGCAGCAGCUAGCCUGCUAAUCACACACACCACAUGAUAAUGAGAACAACCCCUGUCCUCCAACACACACACAUACGACUAACCACAGAAAACAGACAAACAUCCUCUCACACACACUGACCCAUACUUCUACAGACAAAUGGAAGACAUAAUGGUAGCCGGAGGCAGUGCUCACUGCAUCUCUCUAUCUCUCUCUCUCUUACACUCUUGAACUAAACACAUCUCUAUCUCUUUACUGUCCUUAUGCACAUACUGUAGAAAAGAAUUGUUGGUUUAACUUAAAGUAAGUUACCUGGUUACCUUAAAAUUUUGAGUUCAUUAAAAUAAAAAAUUUGAGUUAAUUCAAUGAAGGGGAUUGGUUUAAUCAACAGAAACUCAAAAUAUUAUGUUAUCUGAACCACAUUAAUUAAGUUGAUUUGACAAAAGAAAAAACGUUGUGCUAACAAAUCAUGAAUAUAUAUAUAUAUAUAAUUUUUUUUUUUUUUUUUUACAGUGCAUACACUCGUCUCUCAUACUAACAGCUUUUUCAGAAGAGACUCGGACUUGAGUCUACACUCACUGUAAUGACCAUUAAAAUUUAGUUACUAUUAGUUACUAUAAUUUAAAAAAAUGAAUACAUUUAAUAACAUUUGAUUAAAAUUAUUAAAUAAACUAUUAAUGAUAAAAUAUUACAUUUAAAAUGUCUUUUAUGUAAAUAUUAUGACAAUUUAAAAUAACUAUUUUCUAUUUCAAUAUAUUAAAAACAUUUAAUUUAUUCUUUUGAGGGCAAAGCUGGAUUUUCAGCAUCAUUACUUCAGUCUUCAGUGUCACAUGAUCCUUCAGAAAUCAUUCUAACAUGCUGAUUUGGUGCUUAAGAAACUUUUCUUAUUAUUAACAAUGUUGAAAACAGUUGUGCUGUUUAAUAUUUUUGUGGAAUCUUGAUGAAUAGAAAAUUCAAAAGAACAGCAUUUAUUUGAAAUUAAAAAAAUAAAACAAUGUAAACGUCUUUAUUGUCACUUUUGAUCAGUUAAUGCAUCCAUGCUUAAUAAAAGUAUUAAUUUCUUGAACAACAAACUCUUACUGAACAGUAGUGUAAGUAAAACCUCACACACUUUAUUUUAGAUAUGUAUUAAAUGAUCAAGGAUUUUUAAAAAGAAAACAUACUUGGACUUUUCAAAAAAAGCAACAUGUCUUUUUCCUUAAAAGCUGCUUCAAAGUGCAAAAUAAACAUUUUACACACACAUCCAGACACACAGCAUAUUACAUGCGAUAUAUCAGACCUUCCAGCUAAGGGAAUGAGGAGGAGUUGAGAAAGAAAGGAAGCAAGCAAGCAAACCCUCAAACUCAGACCCAUGGGUACAAGAUUUUAGAUAAAGACUCCUUUCUAAAGGCAGCUGUGGGCUAUGAGAGAUUUCAGUUCCAAUUUCAGUUUUUACUCUUUUUCUCAUAACCCAAAAAACUUCAUACCCAAAAAAUUUGGGGGACAGGAACAAGGGGGCAAACAGUCAUCUGUCAUUAAACCACACAGUCAUCACCAUAAUCAAAGACUACCUGACAAAAUCUCACCUGCUUUAAACCUAAAGGCUUACUGUGACACAAACCUGAGCUUCGGAAUUGCAAGACACUUGAGGACUGUGCCAGGAUGCGAAAAAUAACGGCAAUUUGUUUGAGGUCACAUGCAGAUUUCCUGCGCAUUACCCAUGAUUAACACAGGUAUAAAUGAGGAUAUUGUUUCCUGGCAAACGUGCACUCUAAGGAAUGAAGAUGUGCAAAUGGUUUCGUUCAUUUUAAAUGAGGCGACACUUCACACAGUCUCACAUUCACACUUCUUUGUAUCUUGCAGGGUGGCAUGUGCAGGAUGUAGACUGGAGCAGGUGUGGUGCCUGUAGGUCCUUUUUGUACCAUAUGUACUCAGUAGGAAAUUCCAGUGACCACCUGCAGGGACAGUUUCUCGGAAGCAGCCUGGGGUGCUGUACUCAAGGGCACUUGGAACCUGCACCCUUUGUACUGUCAGCUGAGAUCCUUAACCCUGUAUUUGUGUAGCAAAGUGGUAAAGCUUCUCAUUUGACAGAGAGAGCGAGCAAAUGUGUUUGUGUGUAAAACGUGUAAAAGCCAUUUAGGAUUUGACCCCCUGACACUGCUUAGAGGCAGCUUUUCCUUGUAGUAUACUUGGCUGCAAACACACUCUCUCAUGCUCUCGCUCAUGUUUGGAUCUCUUUCCUCUGGUUGCUAAGCCACAUAGACUGGGACAAUAGCAAUGCUUGUACUGUCUCUCUGCACUGUCACCGUAUAUGCUGUUGCAUCAGUUCUUCCACGAUCUAUAUGUGUAACUGCACAAAACUUUUUCAUUUCAUUAUAUGCUUACAAGCAGGUUCCAAAAUUAACACUCACCAAGUGACAAAUGAAGCUAAAAAUUGGAUUUGGCAAGUAAAUAAUUAUUGACCAGUAGGUUGGUCUAGAUGGUAAAGUCAUCUGAUAUGAUUGUGUCUGACAUGACUUGCAAGUAAAUUUACCAUUUUAAGCUUGCCAAUGUUUUUCUCAGGUGACACAUCUAUGCAAUAUCCAUGCAUUAAGCCACCAAAAAAACAUAUAAAAAAAAGUGAAAGAUAAUUCUGAAACAAUGAACAAAAAUACAAUGCAAGUCAAUGGAAACUGAAACUCUUUGGUUACCAACAUUCUUCAAAAUAUCUUCUCUCUUUCAUGUUCCACAGAAGAAAGAAAGUCAUACAGGUUUGGAAUGACAUGAGGAUGAGUAAAUGAUGAUAUUUUUUGUUUUGGGUGGACUAUCCCUUUAAGGUAUUUAUUUUUUGUUUUUGUAAGAAGUGCAGUUUCACUAUGAGAAUAUAUUUUUGAACAUAAAAAUUCAAAAUAAAGUUUCAUGAACUCUAA